RNAcentral lists this ribosomal RNA (497 nucleotides) under uncultured bacterium. RNAcentral's name for it is "partial 16S ribosomal RNA". It matches the Rfam family "Bacterial small subunit ribosomal RNA", at positions 28 to 507 of the family's 1533-position model. The record is from RNAcentral.
GAUGAACGCUGGCGGCGUGCCUAAUACAUGCAAGUCGAGCGAACGGACGAGAAGCUUGCUUCUCUGAUGUUAGCGGCGGACGGGUGAGUAACACGUGGAUAACCUACCUAUAAGACUGGGAUAACUUCGGGAAACCGGAGCUAAUACCGGAUAAUAUUUUGAACCGCAUGGUUCAAAAGUGAAAGACGGUCUUGCUGUCACUUAUAGAUGGAUCCGCGCUGCAUUAGCUAGUUGGUAAGGUAACGGCUUACCAAGGCAACGAUGCAUAGCCGACCUGAGAGGGUGAUCGGCCACACUGGAACUGAGACACGGUCAAGACUCCUACGGGAGGCAGCAGUAGGGAAUCUUCCGCAAUGGGCGAAAGCCUGACGGAGCAACGCCGCGUGAGUGAUGAAGGUCUUCGGAUCGUAAAACUCUGUUAUUAGGGAAGAACAUAUGUGUAAGUAACUGUACACAUCUUGACGGUACCUAAUCAGAAAGCCACGGCUAACUACGUG